RNAcentral lists this ribosomal RNA (447 nucleotides) under uncultured bacterium. RNAcentral describes it as "partial 16S ribosomal RNA". It matches the Rfam family "Bacterial small subunit ribosomal RNA", at positions 29 to 523 of the family's 1533-position model. The record is from RNAcentral.
AGCGAGCGCUGGCGGCAGGCUUAACACAUGCAAGUCGAACGCCCCGCAAGGGGAGUGGCAGACGGGUGAGUAACACGUGGGAACGUACCCUUUGGUUCGGAAUAACUUGGGGAAACUCAAGCUAAUACCGGAUAAGCCCGUAUGGGGAAAGGUUUACUGCCGAAGGAUCGGCCAGCGUCUGAUUAGCUAGUUGGUGAGGUAAUGGCUCACCAAGGCGACGAUCAGUAGCUGGUCUGAGAGGAUGAUCAGCCACACUGGGACUGAGACACGGCCCAGACUCCUACGGGAGGCAGCAGUGGGGAAUAUUGGACAAUGGGGGCAACCCUGAUCCAGCCAUGCCGCGUGAGUGAUGAAGGCCUUAGGGUUGUAAAGCUCUUUUACCCGGGACGAUAAUGACUGUACCGGGAGAAUAAGCCCCGGCUAACUUCGUGCCAGCCGCCGCCGUAA